CCUACGGGAGGCAGCAGUAGGGAAUUUUCGUCAAUGGGCGCAAGCCUGAACGAGCAAUGCCGCGUGAACGAGGAAGGUCUUCGGAUCGUAAAGCUCUGUUGAAGGGGAAAAAGAGCGGAGAGAGGAAAUGGUCUCCGCUUGAUAUUACCCUUCGAGGAAGUCACGGCUAACUACGUGCCAGCAGCCGCGGUAAUACGUAGGUGGCGAGCGUUAUCCGGAAUGAUUGGGCGAAAAGGGUGCGUAGGCGGCCUACUAAGUCUGGAGUGAAAGGUACCGGCUCAACCGGUAUAGGCGCUGGAAACUGGCGGGCUAGAGAGCAGGAGAGGGCGGUGGAACUCCAUGUGUAGCGGUAAAAUGCGUAGAUAUAUGGAAGAACACCAGUGGCGAAGGCGGCCGCCUGGCCUGUUACUGACGCUGAGGCACGAAAGCGUGGGGAGCAAAUAGGAUUAGAUACCCCUGUAGUC
RNAcentral lists this ribosomal RNA (464 nucleotides) under uncultured bacterium. RNAcentral describes it as "partial 16S ribosomal RNA". It matches the Rfam family "Bacterial small subunit ribosomal RNA", at positions 338 to 795 of the family's 1533-position model. The record is from RNAcentral.